Long non-coding RNA from Cotesia glomerata, 1007 nucleotides. RefSeq lists it as uncharacterized. The record is from RefSeq and is a predicted model, not a curated record. The transcript is spliced from 4 exons. NCBI's taxonomy places the organism in Eukaryota, Metazoa, Arthropoda, Insecta, Hymenoptera, Braconidae.
UAAUUUAAUAGAUGAUGGUGCUCAAACGGAGCAAGACUUGAUAGAACCACCUUUCAGUCAACACGCCUGUAAGGAUUCGAAGAAUCUACAAGAAAUCGAAGCUCCAAAAUUGCCACCGUUUUGGUUGUAUAUACCCGAGCCCAAUGGAUUUGUAUUUAUGUGAAUGGAUCCAACAACUCAGCAGAUCAAAAUUCGGUUACGCUUAAACAAGGAUACAUCUAUUACGGUUCUUUUUCCUAACAAUGACUAACUGCCUCUAAACGAAAAAAUUAAUUCAUUAAGUUGUAUCUAUGACUACUUGAAAUCAGUGGAAAGAUGGCCUUUAUGUGUUGGUACUCAGAUUGACAGUAUAAAGUAUUCAAAACUUUGUAAAAAUGUGAUUGUUGGUGAUGACACUUAUAAAAGGAACCAAGCUAAUCCAAGAUGUAAACCUUGUCGAAUAUUACGGAAUCGAUUGCAGAGUCGAAAUUCGACUUCAAUUAAUUUGGAAACAACAAUUGCUAAAAAAAGACGUGCUUCAAAUCUAGUUAGGCAAUGCAAACGUUUAAAAAAAAUGGCAAACCUCCCAAUUUAUACAAUUUCAAUGGCUACACAGUGCAUCACAAAUUGAUUAUCAUUAGGAAACAUUUCCUACUGGAUAAUAUUAAUAUAUGUAUUUGCGAGAGUAUGCAAAUAUAAUAUUACUUGAUAAUCUAUCAAGAAGUUUCGUAAUAUGAACAUAAGUCAAAAAUAAUGAGUAGUUAUUGACAAUAUACUCAUGUUUGUCGUAAAAUAUUAUAUUUUUCUACGGCAAUUUAAAAUGAUUUAACAAUUUUUGGACAGUUUUUAAUAAGACUCAAGAUCAAAUAAUUUUAUAUACCUCCCAAUAUUUUUGUUUCAUCAAGGGUGGUUUGUACAUAUAAAUUUGUACAUAUAUUUGUACAUAAUAUUAAAUAAUUUCUUUGAUUUCGGAAAAAUAAGAAUUGUAUAUUAAAUUAAAUAACUUCUGUCAUUCAAAUUAUAACAUA